Molecule: ribosomal RNA, 700 nt
Filed under: bacterium enrichment culture clone EN4
Lineage: Bacteria
Description: bacterial SSU rRNA
Rfam family: Bacterial small subunit ribosomal RNA
Source: RNAcentral
CGGAGCUAACGCAUUAAGUGCCCCGCCUGGGGAGUACGGCCGCAAGGCUAAAACUCAAAAGAAUUGACGGGGGCUCGCACAAGCGGUGGAGCAUGUGGCUUAAUUCGAUGCAACGCGAAGAACCUUACCGGGGCUUGACAUGGUAGAAGUAGAAUCCUGAAAGGGUGACGAUCGGUAUCCAGUCCGAAGCUAUCACAGGUGUUGCAUGGCUGUCGUCAGCUCGUGUCGUGAGACGUUGGGUUAAGUCCCCUAACGAGCGAAACCCUUGUCUUUAGUUGCUAACGGGUAAUGCUGAGCACUUUAGAGAGACUGCCGUCGUUAAGACGGAGGAAGGUGGGGACGACGUCAAGUCAUCAUGGCCCUUAUGUCCCGGGCUGCACACGUGCUACAAUGGUCGGUACAAAGGGAUGCUAAGUCGCGAGAUGGUGCGAAACCUAUAAAGCCGAUCUCAGUUCAGAUUGGAGGCUGAAACUCGCCUCCAUGAAGUUGGAAUCGCUAGUAAUCGCGGAUCAGCUACGCCGCGGUGAAUAUGUUCCCGAGCCUUGUACACACCGCCCGUCAAGCCACCCAAGCAAGAUGCACCCAAAAUCGCCUGCCUAACCCGUAAGGGAGGGAAGUGCCUAAGGUGUGUUUUGUGAGGAGGACUAAGUCGUAACAAGGUAGUCGUAGGAGAACCUGCGGCUGGAUCACCUCCUUUCUG